RNAcentral lists this ribosomal RNA (491 nucleotides) under uncultured bacterium. RNAcentral describes it as "partial 16S ribosomal RNA". It matches the Rfam family "Bacterial small subunit ribosomal RNA", at positions 29 to 506 of the family's 1533-position model. The record is from RNAcentral.
AGUGAACGCUGGCGGUAGGCCUAACACAUGCAAGUCGAACGGCAGCACAGUAAGAGCUUGCUCUUACGGGUGGCGAGUGGCGGACGGGUGAGGAAUACAUCGGAAUCUACUUUUUCGUGGGGGAUAACGUAGGGAAACUUACGCUAAUACCGCAUACGACCUACGGGUGAAAGCAGGGGAUCUUCGGACCUUGCGCGAUUGAAUGAGCCGAUGUCGGAUUAGCUAGUUGGCGGGGUAAAGGCCCACCAAGGCGACGAUCCGUAGCUGGUCUGAGAGGAUGAUCGGCCACCCUGGAACGAGGACACGGUCCAGACUCCUACGGGAGGCAGCGGUGGGGAAUAUUGGACAAUGGGCGCAGGCCUGAUCCAGCCAUACCGCGUGGGUGAAGAAGGCCUUCGGGUUGUAAAGCCCUUUUGUUGGGAAAGAAAAGCAGCAGGUUAAUACCCCGCUGUUCUGACGGUACCCAAAGAAUAAGCACCGGCUACCUUCGU